RNAcentral lists this unclassified non-coding RNA (1545 nucleotides) under Hevea brasiliensis (rubber tree). The record is from RNAcentral. Lineage: Eukaryota; Viridiplantae; Streptophyta; Magnoliopsida; Malpighiales; Euphorbiaceae.
AAAAAAAGCAUCCUCAUAUAAUUAAAGUUAAUAGAUAAAUUUUGCUUCAUUUUGGAAUUGUAAUCUAUCUAUCAUGGUCACUCAACCUAUAUUUCAAAGAUUUAAAGACAAAGAACUAGGUUAUCAAAUUAUUUUGAACAGAGAGUUACUGAACUUGAUCCUGAAUCUCCAUAUUAUUGAUCUAAGAAACCUUGUACCAAACUGCAGCUUAAACAUUUAUUUGACUGAAACAUACUCGAGAAACACAAACCGCCAGACAAGCUUACAACACAUUCAUAAUGCGAUUUGCUUUGCUUCUGUUCUAUUUGGUUGAUGGUGGUGAAUCUGGGUUCCUUUGCUUUGGUUUAAGAAAUGGAUCCUGCAAAUUCCAAAUAUAUUGCACGAUGUUAGAAUGUGUAUGGUGGUACCCUGUCAUGAAAUGAGCUCUGGUUGGAACAACUAGCAGUUUAUGAAAUAAUCCAGCUAAAGUAAUUAGUUCGAGAAAAACAAGUAUAGCAGGUAGGCAUAUUUCCCACCGCACUUCCACAGUUAAGCAGCAAAGAAACUCAACUAAUUUCUUUAGUGGUUAACAAAUACGAAAGAAAAGUGUUUUUUUGAAAAGAAGGUAAACAGAGACAGGACACACCUUCAGUGAUUUUAACAAAACAUGCUAUCAUGCAAACCCAUAUAUUCACCGUACACACCCUUUAACCCAUAUAUUCAUCUUAAGACACAGCCAGCCAAUGUGGGAUUUGAAGACCAAGCCAAGAAAGUGGGAAGGUAAUAACUAUCCUUUCAAUGCAAUGCUGCACCAACGAAUAUUUACAAAGUGUUUCCAUGGAAGUACAGAACACCUAAUGUCCCUUGACUUACUAGGUUGAGAGGCUACAACUUCAUGGCCAAACACCUGGUGAAAUUGUUGUAUUUCCCCCCUUUCCCUUAUUUGUCCCUGGUCUAACAAUAAAAACCUCUCCCCAGUACGUACUAACAUUUAAUAUAAUUUGAUAGUAUGCUCAGUUGAGCGAAUUUCAGCUUCCAAUGGUUCCAAACAUCAAAUCCGACAUUGAUUACUUUCAAAUUUAACUUGAAAGUCUUAUCCUUUAUUCACAACUACAUAAAACAAAUCAAAUUUUUAUCAUUAUAAACAGAAACACUAUCCAACAGCCAUAAGGUUUAUCAUGAAAGAUGACUCCUAUAAUCAGAUCUAAACAUGAUCAAUAAAAGCCUAAUGCAAAUCAUUCCAAUGGAGACAUUUCAAAAGAAAAAUCAUUAAAAAAAAAUUCUUCUAUUCACCCAAGAAAAUCGAAUAUCAAAUUCAAAUAGAAAAUCUAGGGUUUGAAAAUCGAAGGAAAAUAAAGAAAACAUUACAUCCUUAACGAAAAGUAAGUUGGCGGCAACCACGGCAGCGACGAUCCCGCCCAAGAUUGCCACUGGGCCCGUCAGGAGACUCCAUUUUCUGUAUAUCAUCUUCUCCCUCUGCAGUUUUUACUCUUUCCGGUCCUCCUCCGAAUGCCGAAAGAACAAACCACUGCAAUCUGCAAUCACAACUUUCUUCCUUCUAUGGAU